UGGGGAAUAUUGGACAAUGGGCGCAAGCCUGAUCCAGCCAUGCCGCGUGGAUGAUGAAGGCCCUAGGGUUGUAAAGUCCUUUCGGCGGGGGAGAUAAUGACGGUACCCGCAGAAGAAGCCCCGGCUAACUUCGUGCCAGCAGCCGCGGUAAUACGAAGGGGGCUAGCGUUGCUCGGAAUCACUGGGCGUAAAGCGCACGUAGGCGGCUUUCUAAGUCGGUGGUGAAAUCCUGGAGCUCAACUCCAGAACUGCCUCCGAUACUGGAGAGCUCGAGUCCGGGAGAGGUGAGUGGAACUGCGAGUGUAGAGGUGAAAUUCGUAGAUAUUCGCAAGAACACCAGUGGCGAAGGCGGCUCACUGGCCCGGUACUGACGCUGAGGUGCGAAAGCGUAGGGAGCAAACA
RNAcentral lists this ribosomal RNA (402 nucleotides) under uncultured bacterium. RNAcentral's name for it is "bacterial SSU rRNA". It matches the Rfam family "Bacterial small subunit ribosomal RNA", at positions 355 to 774 of the family's 1533-position model. The record is from RNAcentral.